AGAUUGAACGCUGGCGGCGUGCCUAACACAUGCAAGUCGAGCGGUAACGCGGGAGCAAUCCUGGCGACGAGCGGCGAACGGGUGAGUAAUACUUCGGAAUCUACCCACGGGUGGGGAAUAACCAGCCGAAAGGUUGGCUAAUACCGCAUACGCCUACCGGGGAAAGGACGGGGACCGGAAAGGACCGUCGCGCAGCAGGAGUGAGCCGAUGUCCGAUUAGCUGGUUGGUGGGGUAACGGGCCCGACCAAGGCGACGAUCGGUA
Molecule: ribosomal RNA, 263 nt
Filed under: uncultured prokaryote
Description: partial 16S ribosomal RNA
Rfam family: Bacterial small subunit ribosomal RNA
Source: RNAcentral